This 497-nucleotide ribosomal RNA is filed under the name uncultured bacterium. Its description in RNAcentral is "partial 16S ribosomal RNA". It matches the Rfam family "Bacterial small subunit ribosomal RNA", at positions 28 to 507 of the family's 1533-position model. The record is from RNAcentral.
GACGAACGCUGGCGGCGUGCCUAAUACAUGCAAGUUGAGCGCUGAAGGUUGGUCCUUGUACCAACUGGAUGAGCAGCGAACGGGUGAGUAACGCGUGGGGAAUCUGCCUUUGAGCGGGGGACAACAUUUGGAAACGAAUGCUAAUACCGCAUAAAAACUUUAAACACAAGUUUUAAGUUUGAAAGAUGCAAUUGCAUUACUCAAAGAUGAUACCGCGUUGUAUUAGCUAGUUGGUGAGGUAAAGGCUCUACAAGGCGAUGAUACAUAGCCGACCUGAGAGGGGGAACGGCCCAGAUGGGACUGAGACACGGCCCAAACUCCUACGGGAGGCAGCAGUAGGGAAUCUUCGGCAAUGGACGAAAGGCUGACCGAGCAACGCCGCGUGAGUGAAGAAGGUUUUCGGAUCGGAAAACUCUGUUGGUAGGGAAGAACGUUGGUGGGAGUGGAAAGCGCAUCAAGUGACGGUAACUACCCAGAAAGGGACGGCUAACUACGUG